GACUCGUAGCAGAUAGCUCAGUAACACGUGGCCAAACUGCCCUAUAGACGGCGAUAACCUCGGGAAACUGAGGCUAAUAGCCGAUACCGUUCAACACCUGGAGUGGUGUGAACGCGAAACGUUCAGGCGCUAUAGGAUGUGGCUGCGGCCGAUUAGGUAGACGGUGGGGUAACGGCCCACCGUGCCCAUAAUCGGUACGGGUUGUGAGAGCAAGAGCCCGGAGACGGUAUCUGAGACAAGAUACCGGGCCCUACGGGGCGCAGCAGGCGCGAAACCUUUACACUGCACGAUAGUGCGAUAAGGGGACUCCGAGUGCGAGGGCAUAUAGUCCUCGCUUUUCACCACCGUAAGGUGGUGGUGGAAUAAGUGCUGGGCAAGACCGGUGCCAGCCGCCGCGGUAAUACCGGCAGCACGAGUGAUGACCGCUAUUAUUGGGCCUAAAGCGUCCGUAGCUGGCCAGGCAAGUCUAUCGGGAAAUCUGCGCGCUUAACGCGCAGGCGUCCGGUGGAAACUGCAUGGCUUGGGACCGGAAGACCAGAGGGGUACGUCCGGGGUAGGAGUGAAAUCCCGUAAUCCUGGACGGACCACCGGUGGCGAAAGCGCCUCUGGAAGACGGAUCCGACGGUGAGGGACGAAAGCUCGGGUCACGAACCGGAUUAGAUACCCGGGUAGUCCGAGCUGUAAACGAUGUCUGCUAGGUGUGGCACAGGCUA
This 713-nucleotide ribosomal RNA is filed under the name halophilic archaeon. RNAcentral describes it as "bacterial SSU rRNA". It matches the Rfam family "Archaeal small subunit ribosomal RNA", at positions 73 to 785 of the family's 1478-position model. Lineage: Archaea; Methanobacteriati; Methanobacteriota; Halobacteria; Halobacteriales. The record is from RNAcentral.